GUGCUCGCUUCGGCAGCGCAUAUACUAAAAUUGGAACGAUACACAGAAGAUUAGCAUGGCCCCUGCACAAGGAUGACACGAUUAUUUCUAAAAAAAAAAAAAAGAAAA
Molecule: small nuclear RNA, 108 nt
Organism: Lemur catta (Ring-tailed lemur)
Lineage: Eukaryota; Metazoa; Chordata; Mammalia; Primates; Lemuridae
Source: RefSeq, a predicted model, not a curated record